CCUACGGGAGGCAGCAGUGAGGAAUAUUGGUCAAUGGACGAGAGUCUGAACCAGCCAAGUAGCGUGAAGGAUGACUGCCCUAUGGGUUGUAAACUUCUUUUAUAUGGGAAUAAAAUGUUCCACGUGUGGGAUUUUGUAUGUACCCUAUGAAUAAGGAUCGGCUAACUCCGUGCCAGCAGCCGCGGUAAUACGGAGGAUCCGAGCGUUAUCCGGAUUUAUUGGGUUUAAAGGGAGCGUAGGUGGAUUGUUAAGUCAGUUGUGAAAGUUUGCGGCUCAACCGUAAAAUUGCAGUUGAAACUGGCAGUCUUGAGUGCAGUAGAGGUGGGCGGAAUUCGUGGUGUAGCGGUGAAAUGCUUAGAUAUCACGAAGAACUCCGAUUGCGAAGGCAGUUCACUGGACUGCAACUGACACUGAGGCUCGAAAGUGUGGGUAUCAAACAGGAUUAGAUACCCCUGUAGUC
This 460-nucleotide ribosomal RNA is filed under the name uncultured bacterium. Its description in RNAcentral is "partial 16S ribosomal RNA". It matches the Rfam family "Bacterial small subunit ribosomal RNA", at positions 338 to 795 of the family's 1533-position model. The record is from RNAcentral.